RNAcentral lists this ribosomal RNA (253 nucleotides) under uncultured bacterium. Its description in RNAcentral is "partial 16S ribosomal RNA". It matches the Rfam family "Bacterial small subunit ribosomal RNA", at positions 524 to 776 of the family's 1533-position model. The record is from RNAcentral.
GACGAACCGUACAAACGUUAUUCGGAAUCACUGGGCUUAAAGGGCGCGUAGGCGGCGCGGAAAGUAGGGGGUGAAAUCCCUCGGCUCAACCGAGGAAUUGCGGCCUAAACUACCGUGCUCGAGGGAGAUAGAGGUGAGCGGAACUUAGGGUGGAGCGGUGAAAUGCGUUGAUAUUCUAAGGAACACCGGUGGCGAAAGCGGCUCACUGGAUCUCUUCUGACGCUGAGGCACGAAAGCUAGGGUAGCGAACGGG